This 75-nucleotide antisense RNA is filed under the name Nocardia tenerifensis. Its description in RNAcentral is "ASpks TB sRNA". It matches the Rfam family "ASpks TB sRNA". The record is from RNAcentral. Lineage: Bacteria; Bacillati; Actinomycetota; Actinomycetes; Mycobacteriales; Nocardiaceae.
CUUGAUCGAGCCGAGCCACAGCGGCUCACCCGCGGGCCGCUCCUGCCCAUAGGUGGACAGCAGCGCCUGCGCCUC